AGAACGAACGCUGGCGGCAUGCCUAACACAUGCAAGUCGAACGGGACCCCCGUCUUCGGAUGGUGGUCUAGUGGCGCACGGGUGCGUAACGCGUGGGAAUCUGCCCUUGGGUACGGAAUAACAGUUAGAAAUGACUGCUAAUACCGUAUAAUGACUUCGGUCCAAAGAUUUAUCGCCCAGGGAUGAGCCCGCGUAGGAUUAGCUUGUUGGUGAGGUAAAAGCUCACCAAGGCGACGAUCCUUAGCUGGUCUGAGAGGAUGAUCAGCCACACUGGGACUGAGACACGGCCCAGACUCCUACGGGAGGCAGCAGUGGGGAAUAUUGGACAAUGGGCGAAAGCCUGAUCCAGCAAUGCCGCGUGAGUGAUGAAGGCCUUAGGGUUGUAAAGCUCUUUUACCGGGAUGAUAAUGACAGUACCGGAGAAUAAGCUCCGGCUAACUCCGCGCCAGCAGCCGC
Molecule: ribosomal RNA, 456 nt
Filed under: uncultured soil bacterium
Lineage: Bacteria
Description: bacterial SSU rRNA
Rfam family: Bacterial small subunit ribosomal RNA
Source: RNAcentral